AUUAGAGUUUGAUCCUGGCUCAGAUUGAACGCUGGCGGCAGGCCUAACACAUGCAAGUCGAGCGGAUGAGAGGAGCUUGCUCUUCGAUUCAGCGGCGGACGGGUGAGUAAUGCCUAGGAAUCUGCCUGGUAGUGGGGGACAACGUUUCGAAAGGAACGCUAAUACCGCAUACGUCCUACGGGAGAAAGCAGGGGACCUUCGGGCCUUGCGCUAUCAGAUGAGCCUAGGUCGGAUUAGCUAGUUGGUGGGGUAAUGGCUCACCAAGGCGACGAUCCGUAACUGGUCUGAGAGGAUGAUCAGUCACACUGGAACUGAGACACGGUCCAGACUCCUACGGGAGGCAGCAGUGGGGAAUAUUGGACAAUGGGCGAAAGCCUGAUCCAGCCAUGCCGCGUGUGUGAAGAAGGUCUUCGGAUUGUAAAGCACUUUAAGUUGGGAGGAAGGGCAUUAACCUAAUACGUUAGUGUUUUGACGUUACCGACAGAAUAAGCACCGGCUAACUCUGUGCCAGCAGCCGCGGUAAUACAGAGGGUGCAAGCGUUAAUCGGAAUUACUGGGCGUAAAGCGCGCGUAGGUGGUUUGUUAAGUUGAAUGUGAAAGCCCCGGGCUCAACCUGGGAACUGCAUCCAAAACUGGCAAGCUAGAGUACGGUAGAGGGUGGGUGGAAUUUCCUGUGUAGCGGUGAAAUGCGUAGAUAUAGGAAGGAACACCAGUGGCGAAGGCGACCACCUGGACUGAUACUGACACUGAGGUGCGAAAGCGUGGGGAGCAAACAGGAUUAGAUACCCUGGUAGUCCACGCCGUAAACGAUGUCAACUAGCCGUUGGAAUCCUUGAGAUUUUAGUGGCGCAGCUAACGCAUUAAGUUGACCGCCUGGGGAGUACGGCCGCAAGGUUAAAC
RNAcentral lists this ribosomal RNA (900 nucleotides) under bacterium C04(2010). RNAcentral describes it as "bacterial SSU rRNA". It matches the Rfam family "Bacterial small subunit ribosomal RNA", at positions 1 to 899 of the family's 1533-position model. The record is from RNAcentral.